RNAcentral lists this ribosomal RNA (574 nucleotides) under uncultured bacterium. RNAcentral describes it as "partial 16S ribosomal RNA". It matches the Rfam family "Bacterial small subunit ribosomal RNA", at positions 355 to 922 of the family's 1533-position model. The record is from RNAcentral.
UGGGGAAUUUUGGACAAUGGGCGAAAGCCUGAUCCAGCAAUGCCGCGUGUGUGAAGAAGGCCUUCGGGUUGUAAAGCACUUUUGUCCGGAAAGAAAUCCUUGGCUCUAAUACAGUCGGGGGAUGACGGUACCGGAAGAAUAAGCACCGGCUAACUACGUGCCAGCAGCCGCGGUAAUACGUAGGGUGCAAGCGUUAAUCGGAAUUACUGGGCGUAAAGCGUGCGCAGGCGGUUUGCUAAGACCGAUGUGAAAUCCCCGGGCUCAACCUGGGAACUGCAUUGGUGACUGGCAGGCUAGAGUAUGGCAGAGGGGGGUAGAAUUCCACGUGUAGCAGUGAAAUGCGUAGAGAUGUGGAGGAAUACCGAUGGCGAAGGCAGCCCCCUGGGCCAAUACUGACGCUCAUGCACGAAAGCGUGGGGAGCAAACAGGAUUAGAUACCCUGGUAGUCCACGCCCUAAACGAUGUCAACUAGUUGUUGGGGAUUCAUUUCCUUAGUAACGUAGCUAACGCGUGAAGUUGACCGCCUGGGGAGUACGGUCGCAAGAUUAAAACUCAAAUGAAUUGACGGGGUCAU